RNAcentral lists this ribosomal RNA (253 nucleotides) under uncultured bacterium. RNAcentral's name for it is "partial 16S ribosomal RNA". It matches the Rfam family "Bacterial small subunit ribosomal RNA", at positions 524 to 776 of the family's 1533-position model. The record is from RNAcentral.
UACGUAGGGCGCAAGCGUUGUCCGGAAUUAUUGGGCGUAAAGAGCUCGUAGGCGGCUUGUCACGUCGGGUGUGAAAGCCCGGGGCUUAACCCCGGGUCUGCAUUCGAUACGGGCAGGCUAGAGUGUGGUAGGGGAGAUCGGAAUUCCUGGUGUAGCGGUGAAAUGCGCAGAUAUCAGGAGGAACACCAGAGGCGAAGGCGGCCUGCUGGGCUGCACCUGACGCUGAGCCGCGAAAGCCAGGGGAGCGAACGGG